Molecule: ribosomal RNA, 1247 nt
Filed under: uncultured bacterium
Lineage: Bacteria
Description: partial 16S ribosomal RNA
Rfam family: Bacterial small subunit ribosomal RNA
Source: RNAcentral
UGGGGGACCACAGUUGGUAACCACUGCUAAUACCGCCUAAUACCACCGUAUCGCACGACCCAGCGGCAAAAGAUUUAUCGGUAUGAGAUGGACCCCCCUCCGACUCACUAAUUGGCGAGGGAACGGCCCACCAAGGUGGCGAUCAGUAGCCGACCUGAGAGGGUGAUCGGCCACAUUGGGACUGAGACACGGCCCAAACUCCUACGGGAGGCAGCAGUGGGGAAUAUUGGACAAUGGGGGAAACCCUGAUCCAGCGACGCCGCGUGAGUGAAGAAGUAUUUCGGUAUGUAAAGCUCUUUAAGCAGGGAAGAAAAUGACGGUACCUGCAGAAUAAGCCCCGGCUAACUACGUGCCAGCAGCCGCGGUAAUACGUAGGGGGCAAGCGUUAUCCGGAUUUACUGGGUGUAAAGGGAGCGUAGACGGCAAUGCAAGUCUGAAGUGAAAGCCCGUGGCUCAACCCCGGGACUGCAUUUGGAACUGUCUGGCUAGAGUAUCGGAGAGGUAAGUGGAAUUCCUAGUGUAGCGGUGAAAUGCGUAGAUAUUCGGAGGAACACCAGUGGCGAAGGCGGCUUUCUGGACUGUAACUGACGCUGAGGCACGAAAGCGUGGGGAGCAAACCCGAAAAGGUCCCCUUNUUUCCCNCNCUUAANNCNAUGCCCCUAAAAGGCGGGGGUAUCAACUCCCUCUGUGCUGCAGCAAACGCAAUAAGUAUUUCGCUUGGGGAGUACGGCCGCCGAGGUUGAAACUCAAAGGAAUGGACGGGGGGCCGCCACAAGCAGCGGAGCAUGUGGUUUAUUUUGUCGCUACGCGAGGAAACCUUACCAAGGCUUGACGUCCACUUAAACUCAUAGAAAUAUGAGGUCUCUUCGGAGGAAGUGAGACAGGUGGUGCAUGGUUGUCGUCAGCUCGUGUCGUGAGAUGUUGGGUUUAGUCUCGCAACGAGGGCAACCCUUCUUAUCCAGUUACCAGCGAGUAAAGUCGGGGGCUGUGGUGAGACUGCCGGGGACAAAUUGGAGGAAGGUGGGGACGACGUCAAAUCAUCAUGCCCCUUAUGUGUUGGGGUACACACGUGCUACAAUGGUGGUUACAAAGGGAAGCGACAGUGUGAGCGGAAGCGGAUCUCGGAAAAACAGUCCCAGUUCGGAUUGUGGGUUGCAACCCGCCCACAUGAAGUUGGAGUUGUUAGUAUUCGCGGAUCAGAAUGCCGCGGUGAAUACGUUCCCGGGCUUUGCACACACCGCCCGUCA